RNAcentral lists this ribosomal RNA (572 nucleotides) under uncultured bacterium. RNAcentral's name for it is "bacterial SSU rRNA". It matches the Rfam family "Bacterial small subunit ribosomal RNA", at positions 374 to 873 of the family's 1533-position model. The record is from RNAcentral.
CCAGGGAUUGUAAAGGAGGACCCUUGCACGCAGCUAGCAUCUCUCCGCUGCAGGCGAUUGAAGGGGUCCUGUGUCUGAACUGCUACUGCUGUUCAAAGCAUCAUAGAUAGAUUGAGAGCGCGAAGGAGGAAGCCACGGCUACAUCUACGUGCCAGCAGCCGCGGUAAUACGUAGCGUGGCAAGCGUUGUCCGGAUUUACUGGGCGUAAAGAAUGCGUAGGCGGAUACUUAAGUGGGAUGUGAAAUACCCGGGCUCAACUUGGGUGCUGCAUUUCAAACUGGAUGUCUAGAGUGCAGGAGAGGAAAGUGGAAUUCCUAGUGUAGCGGUGAAAUGCGUAGAGAUUAGGAAGAACACCAGUGGCGAAGGCGACUUUCUGGACUGUAACUGACACUGAGGCUCGAAAGCGUGGGGAGCAAACAGGAUUAGAUACCCUGGUAGUCCACGCCCGUAAACGAUGGAUACUAGGUGUAGGGGUUAUCAACCUCCCUCUGUUCCCGCAAUAUUACACAAAUUUUUCCCCCCUGUGAGGCCACCCCGCUCUAACAUAUUUUACACCUCAAUAGGCUUUUUGU